CAACUUUCAGAAGCAUUAAAAGCAAACACAUCCUAAGGCAAAUAAUUGUCCAUUUGCUGCUCAGAUUAUGAUUAAUUAAGCAGUCAGAAGAGUUGGCUGAUAAUUUCUGGAAAUUUAAGCAACCGCCGAGCCUUUCAAGCUCAAUGAACGACUCAAAGGUCGAGCCAUGAGAGGAGAACGAGCAUAAAAGACCGGCCAGACAGCCGGUUAGAGGGCGAUUGGCUAAAAACGACAAGAAUUGAUAAUUUGCAGUAGGAAGUAUUUAUUUCUGUAUAGAUCUUUGGCUAUGAGGGAAGUUCGAAAUAAUUAAACAUGGGUUGAAAUUCUA
This is a long non-coding RNA of Drosophila mojavensis, 328 nucleotides long. RefSeq lists it as uncharacterized. NCBI's taxonomy places the organism in Eukaryota, Metazoa, Arthropoda, Insecta, Diptera, Drosophilidae. The transcript has 2 exons. The record is from RefSeq and is a predicted model, not a curated record.